Molecule: ribosomal RNA, 116 nt
Filed under: Pteropus alecto (black flying fox)
Lineage: Eukaryota; Metazoa; Chordata; Mammalia; Chiroptera; Pteropodidae
Source: RNAcentral
GUCUGCGGCCAUGCCACCUUGAACAAGCCCGAUGUCUGAUCUUGGAAGCUAAACAGGGUUGGUCCUGGUUAGUACUUGGAUGGAAGACCACCUAGGAAGACCAGGUGCUGUAGGCA